This 497-nucleotide ribosomal RNA is filed under the name uncultured bacterium. Its description in RNAcentral is "partial 16S ribosomal RNA". It matches the Rfam family "Bacterial small subunit ribosomal RNA", at positions 28 to 507 of the family's 1533-position model. The record is from RNAcentral.
GAUGAACGCUGGCGGCGUGCCUAAUACAUGCAAGUCGAGCGAACGGACGAGAAGCUUGCUUCUCUGAUGUUAGCGGCGGACGGGUGAGUAACACGUGGAUAACCUACCUAUAAGACUGGGAUAACUUCGGGAAACCGUAGCUAAUACCGGAUAAUAUUUUGAACCGCAUGGUUCAAAAGUGAAAGACGGUCUUGCUGUCACUUAUAGAUGGAUCCGCGCUGCAUUAGCUAGUUGGUAAGGUAACGGCUUACCAAGGCAACGAUGCAUAGCCGACCUGAGAGGGUGAUCGGCCACACUGGAACUGAGACACGGUCCAGACUCCUACGGAAGGCAACAGUAGGGAAUCUUCCGCAAUGGGCGAAAGCCUGACGGAGCAACGCCGCGUGAGUGAUGAAGGUCUUCGGAUCUUAAAACGCUGUUAUUAGGGAAGAACAUAUGUGUAAGUAACUGUGCACAUCUUGACGUUACCUAAUCAGAAAGCCACGGCUAACUACGUG